This 1138-nucleotide long non-coding RNA is filed under the name Oryzias sinensis (Chinese medaka). RNAcentral's name for it is "lncRNA (ENSOSIG00000021158.1)". Lineage: Eukaryota; Metazoa; Chordata; Actinopteri; Beloniformes; Adrianichthyidae. The record is from RNAcentral.
GGCAGAUGUCAGACACAGAUGGAUUCCUUAAGAGGACACAGAACUUUAAUGGGAUUGGAAAUGGUACUGACCAGCUGUAAGUAUUUAGAGAAGGCGGGAGAUGACAGUCCAAAGUAGGCCCGAGGAGGGGUGGCAUUGCAAGUGUUUUCUUUUAGGCUCCGACUUGACCGAGAACACAUUCGGGCCUGCUGCAUCAAUAAAUGGAUAAGAAAGAUGAAAAAGAUGUGAAAGAAAAGGAUAAGGCUUUGGAAAUGAAAGAAGCUCUUUAAACACGUCAUCAAACGCUGCGGCCACAGCGGGGGGCCUCUGCAUACACCCGUGUGAGGGAUGCUUGGAGUGGGUGUGUGAAUAUAGUUUUGUAUCGGCCUAAUAAACCAUCCGUCUGCAGGGAGGGGUGAGCAGUGGAUGUGAAUGUUAAAAGGGGGGGUUACAGAACUCUUUUUUUUUUUCCUCUCUCCAUAUUUAUACCCCUUUGAAAUUCACAGACAGACGGACGCAAAGUCCAGCCUAGAGGUUUUUUUGAUGGUCGUCGAUACCGCUGCGUGAUGAUGUCAUACGGCAGACAGCAUGGGAGGGAGGCCUGAUCAAAGGAGAGAGGGAGGGAUGAAGACUGAGGAGAGGAUAACCAAGACAACAACGGGACAAAGAUGGCGACAGCUUCAGCAAUGGGACGUCCACUGGCGUCCAGACCCUCAGAUCACCAAAAGGCGCCAAGGCCAUGCAGCAACUGCAACCUCAUCCUUUAUCCCAACAGGAAGAGCACCGGCGACACGGAUGGGAACGACUGCGCCAACCUCAGCCAUCUCCACCUCCGAGCUAGCAUGCUUCAGGUUGUCAUGGAGGAGCAGUUCAGCCAGAAAUGGACAGAGAUCAAAACAGAUGUCUGGACCUUACCUGAACCACCGGAUCCGGACCUUCAGCUCAUUCAACAGCCAGCCUGACAAAAUGAAAACUCGUUGGAGGAGAGUGACAAGGAAGGCGGUCGGACAGGAGCAGCAGCGGCGGCAGUGGCGGCGUGUUUCCUCAGCCUGUCUGUCUGUCGGGGAUGCUGGCUCUUGAAGUCUGACAGGUGAGUCCCUUUAUCGCAGCUAAAACGCUAGUUUCUCAAGAUUUGUUUCGCAUUUUGUGAAGCAAAAUA